This 94-nucleotide non-coding RNA is filed under the name uncultured Terrisporobacter sp. Its description in RNAcentral is "Glycine riboswitch". It matches the Rfam family "Glycine riboswitch aptamer", at positions 9 to 86 of the family's 94-position model. Rfam says of the family: This family represents the bacterial glycine riboswitch. Glycine riboswitches usually consist of two metabolite-binding aptamers domains with similar structures in tandem. The aptamers cooperatively bind glycine to regulate the expression of downstream genes. Lineage: Bacteria; Bacillati; Bacillota; Clostridia; Peptostreptococcales; Peptostreptococcaceae. The record is from RNAcentral.
GGGACUCUGGAAAGACUUGCUCAUAUAUAUGUGAAAGUCACCGAAGAAGCAAAUGAGGCUAUCUCACAAAACUUUCAGGUAAAAAAACAGAGGA